RNAcentral lists this unclassified non-coding RNA (141 nucleotides) under soil metagenome. RNAcentral's name for it is "partial internal transcribed spacer 1". The record is from RNAcentral.
CCUAGAGUUGUAGGCUUUGCCUGCUAUCUCUUACCCAUGUCUUUUGAGUACCUUCGUUUCCCUCGGCGGGUCCGCCCGCCGAUUGGACAAUUUAAACCAUUUGCAGUUUGCAAUCAGCGUCUGAAAAAAACUUAAUAGUUA